ACUAUCACGUCGCCCAGUGCCGGCAGGAGGGU
This 32-nucleotide non-coding RNA is filed under the name Geobacter sulfurreducens KN400. The record is from RNAcentral. Lineage: Bacteria; Pseudomonadati; Thermodesulfobacteriota; Desulfuromonadia; Geobacterales; Geobacteraceae.